RNAcentral lists this long non-coding RNA (214 nucleotides) under Phoenix dactylifera (date palm). RNAcentral's name for it is "long non-coding RNA (PDAC_LNC013972)". Lineage: Eukaryota; Viridiplantae; Streptophyta; Magnoliopsida; Arecales; Arecaceae. The record is from RNAcentral.
UCAGACAGAGCAUUUGGGCUCGCAGCCGAAACGACUCCGAGACAAGAUGCAGCAUCUCACGAAGCUAUCUUCCCCUGCUUUCCAUGACUCUCCGAUCAGCCGUUCUAGGAGCAGUCCGAGACCACCUCGGCACUUUGAUUGACCACUUCGACGCUCCACUUGGCCAUUCUAAUGCUUGGAUAGACCAUGCCGGAGCUCUAAAUCGAUCCCUUGG